This 274-nucleotide ribosomal RNA is filed under the name uncultured bacterium. RNAcentral's name for it is "partial 16S ribosomal RNA". It matches the Rfam family "Archaeal small subunit ribosomal RNA", at positions 473 to 747 of the family's 1478-position model. The record is from RNAcentral.
AAACCAGCACCUCAAGUGGUCAGGAUGAUUAUUGGGCCUAAAGCAUCCGUAGCCGGCUCUGUAAGUUUUCGGUUAAAUCUGUAUGCUCAACAUACAGGCUGCCGGGAAUACUGCAGAGCUAGGGAGUGGGAGAGGUAGACGGUACUCGGGAGGAAGUGGUAAAAUGCUUUGAUCUCUCGAUGACCACCUGUGGCGAAGGCGGUCUACCAGAACACGUCCGACGGUGAGGGAUGAAAGCUGGGGGAGCAAACAGGAUUAGAAACCCGAGUAGUCC